Molecule: ribosomal RNA, 466 nt
Filed under: uncultured bacterium
Lineage: Bacteria
Description: bacterial SSU rRNA
Rfam family: Bacterial small subunit ribosomal RNA
Source: RNAcentral
CCUACGGGUUGCACCAGUGGGGAAUAUUGCACAAUGGGCGCAAGCCUGAUGCAGCCAUGCCGCGUGUAUGAAGAAGGCCUUCGGGUUGUAAUGUACUUUCAGCGGGGAGGGUGGUGUUGUGGUUAAUAACCGCAGCAAUUGACGUUACCCGCAGAAGAAGCACCGGCUAACUCCGUGCCAGCAGCCGCGGUAAUACGGAGGGUGCAAGCGUUAAUCGGAAUUACUGGGCGUAAAGCGCACGCAGGCGGUCUGUCAAGUCGGAUGUGAAAUCCCCGGGCUCAACCUGGGAACUGCAUUCGAAACUGGCAGGCUAGAGUCUUGUAGAGGGGGGUAGAAUUCCAUGUGUAGCGGUGAAAUGCGUAGAGAUGUGGAGGAAUACCGGUGGCGAAGGCGGCCCCCUGGACAAAGACUGACGCUCAGGUGCGAAAGCGUGGGGAGCAAACAGGAUUAGAUACCCGCGUAGUCA